Anneissia japonica is the source of this 380-nucleotide long non-coding RNA. RefSeq lists it as uncharacterized. The transcript has 3 exons. NCBI's taxonomy places the organism in Eukaryota, Metazoa, Echinodermata, Crinoidea, Comatulida, Comatulidae. The record is from RefSeq and is a predicted model, not a curated record.
AGGAGGCCCAGCACUUAAUCCUAUAGACCCAUGUACUUCCAAUCCCUGUGUGAAUGGGAUCUGUAGAAGGUCAGGCUCUUCUUAUUCAUGCAUCUGUAAUCGAUGCUAUUCAGGAAGCAGAUGUCAAAACUAUGAUUCUAAACGCUGCUUAAUCGAGCCCUUCGAGCCUCGGGGGCUGCCACUGAAGUAGAUGGUCGUCUAAAGUAGCAGCUUCAGUCUUGCACAUCAAUCUUGCACGACAAUCUUCUUCUGAUCAUCGCACACUGUAGUCCUGAUGGACAUACCUAAUCUAAACAUAUUCCUGUGAACUGGUGCGCCGCAAUAAAUAGUGACUUUUAUUUUUUCCAGAAAAAUAUCUUAGUUGUUAGAUUUUAAAUUUU